GAUGAACGCUGGCGGCGUGCCUAAUACAUGCAAGUCGAGCGAACGGACGAGAAGCUUGCUUCUCUGAUGUUAGCGGCGGACGGGUGAGUAACACGUGGAUAACCUACCUAUAGACUGGGAUAACUUCGGGAAACCGGAGCUAAUACCGGAUAAUAUUUUGAACCGCAUGGUUCAAAAGUGAAAGACGGUCUUGCUGUCACUUAUAGAUGGAUCCGCGCUGCAUUAGCUAGUUGGUAAGGUAACGGCUUACCAAGGCAACGAUGCAUAGCCGACCUGAGAGGGUGAUCGGCCACACUGGAACUGAGACACGGUCCAGACUCCUACGGGAGGCAGCAGUAGGGAAUCUUCUGCAAUGGGCGAAAGCCUGACGGAGCAACGCCGCGUGAGUGAUGAAGGUCUUCGGAUCGUAAAACUCUGUUAUUAGGGAAGAACAUAUGUGUAAGUAACUGUGCACAUCUUGACGGUACCUAAUCAGAAAGCCACGGCUAACUACGUG
RNAcentral lists this ribosomal RNA (496 nucleotides) under uncultured bacterium. Its description in RNAcentral is "partial 16S ribosomal RNA". It matches the Rfam family "Bacterial small subunit ribosomal RNA", at positions 28 to 507 of the family's 1533-position model. The record is from RNAcentral.